RNAcentral lists this ribosomal RNA (440 nucleotides) under uncultured bacterium. RNAcentral describes it as "partial 16S ribosomal RNA". It matches the Rfam family "Bacterial small subunit ribosomal RNA", at positions 338 to 795 of the family's 1533-position model. The record is from RNAcentral.
CCUACGGGUGGCAGCAGUGGGGAAUAUUGCACAAUGGGCGAAACCCUGAUGCAGCGACGCCGCGUGAGCGAUGAAGUAUUUCGGUAUGGAAAGCUCUAUCAGCAGGGAAGAAAAUGACGGUACCUGACUAAGAAGCCACGGCUACCUACGUGCCAGCAGCCGCGGUAAUACGUAGGGGGCAAGCGUUAUCCGGAUUUACUGGGUGUAAAGGGGGCGUAGACGGUCCUGCAGGCCAGAUGUGAAAGCCCGGGGCUCAACCCCGGGACUGCAUUUGGAACUGUAAGGCUAGAGUGUCUGAGAGGCAGGUGGAAUGCCUAGUGUAGCGGUGAAAUGCGUAGAUAUUAGGAGGAACACCAGUGGCGAAGGCGGCCUGCUGGACGAUGACUGACGUUGAGGCUCGAAAGCGUGGGGAGCAAACAGGAUUAGAUACCCCAGUAGUC